RNAcentral lists this long non-coding RNA (472 nucleotides) under Dromaius novaehollandiae (emu). RNAcentral's name for it is "lncRNA (ENSDNVG00000005622.1)". The record is from RNAcentral. Lineage: Eukaryota; Metazoa; Chordata; Aves; Casuariiformes; Dromaiidae.
UCUGCCACACAUGAGAACUAUCCUAACUUACAGGUGGGGAAACUGAGGCACAGGGCAGUGACCAUCUGCCUCUCCUGAAGCCCUGUGGACCCUUCAUGGUGAGGAAGAGGAGGCAAUGAGGAGCUGAAUUUCUGUGAAUGCUGGGCUGCCCUCACCUCACUGAGCCGAGAGCAGACCGUGGCAGCUGCGUGACGCAGAGCUGUCCUCCUGCCCGGGGAUAAGGAAGCGCACGAAUGUGGGAAGAUGUUCAUCCCGGGUACGUGCUGCAAGCCUGAAUUUCUUCUGCUGGCUCCCUGCUGGUCUCAGUGCCACGUUGCUCUGGGGCAGGAGACCCUCAAAAGUCUCCCGAAGGCAAACACCCCAAUGGGUGUAACGACGGAUGUCUCGCUGUUCUCCCUGCUGAGCGCCUGGUGAAAUGAGGUAGAAACUGCAAAGAAAAGCAAUUGGGAGAGUGGUGGGAGUCAGACCUGCU